Clostridium tetani E88 is the source of this 62-nucleotide small RNA. It matches the Rfam family "RAGATH-18 RNA". Rfam says of the family: Actinobacteria, Firmicutes, Fusobacteria, Thermotogae (1 example). NCBI's taxonomy places the organism in Bacteria, Bacillati, Bacillota, Clostridia, Eubacteriales, Clostridiaceae. The record is from Rfam.
CCUAUGGAGUGUUAUAGCAAACGAAAGUAGCUUAGGCAAAAUCGGAUAUUAUGAAGUAGGAA